GCAACGCGAAGAACCUUACCUGGUCUUGACAUCCUGGUGACGCAUGGGCAAAGCCAUGUUUCCCUCGGGACACCGGAGACAGGUGGUGCAUGGUUGUCGUCAGCUCGUGUCGUGAGAUGUUGGGUUAAGUCCCGCAACGAGCGCAACCCCUAUUUCCAGUAGCCAGCAUUUAAGAUGGGCACUCUGGAGAGACUGCCCGGGAUAACCGGGAGGAAGGCGGGGAUGACGUCAAAUCAUCAUGCCCCUUAUGAUCAGGGCUACACACGUGCUACAAUGGCGUAAACAAAGGGAAGCAAAGCGGUGACGCCAAGCAAAUCCCAAAAAUAACGUCCCAGUUCGGAUUGUAGUCUGCAACCCGACUACAUGAAGCUGGAAUCGCUAGUAAUCGCGGAUCAGAAUGCCGCGGUGAAUACGUUCCCGGGUCUUGUACACACCGCCCGUCACACCAUGGGAGUCGGAAAUGCCCGAAGUCAGUGACCCAACCGUAAGGAAGGAGCUGCCGAAGGUGGAGCCGGUAACUGGGGUGAAGUCGUAACAAGGUAACCG
This 546-nucleotide ribosomal RNA is filed under the name uncultured bacterium. RNAcentral describes it as "bacterial SSU rRNA". It matches the Rfam family "Bacterial small subunit ribosomal RNA", at positions 956 to 1502 of the family's 1533-position model. The record is from RNAcentral.